UCGGUAAGUAUUUCACUGUAAAAGAAGAUGCUACAUCCUUGUUUAUAUGCACCAACAGUGAUCCAUGAUAAAUCAACUUUAAGGUACCUUCUAUAUUUAAUUGCAAUCCCCAAACAACUUAAAAGGUGAAAACAAGUAAAUUUGUUAGCUGUCGUUAAUGAAGGCUUCGCAUAAAAUACCUUGACCCAUUCUUUACCUCCUCUACCACUUACCUCAAUAUGGAACUAAUCUUUUUACACUCCCAAAGUUAUUCUUAAAGUUGUAAUUGCAGCAACUCCAAACAAUUCUAAUUUGUUUAGAGUUGUUACCUGAACUUGAAGCUCCACAGCAACUAUUCUGUAGUAAAUCACAGUGUGUUCAUAAUCUCAUAUUUGUGGACAAUUAUAUUGUGAAAUGCUUUGAAAUUACAAGAUCAUGGUUGAGAAAUGGAAAUAGAUUGACAGGAGAACAAAAUAAAAUAAAAUCGCAAAUGAACUAUAAAUGUUUGCUCUUUUAGAGUCAUAAUUAUGUCAAGCAAGACUACUGCAAUAAAUUCAGACACCAGGUCUAAUGAAUUCAAAGCGUACUACUCAGAAGCUGCACUGCAGAGUUUUAUCUUGUUUAAAUUACCAGAGGCUCGAAUGCUAUAUAAUCCAAACAUAGAAACAAAUAAUGCUACACAUGAAAAAUCAAGCACAUGUGGCAAAGAUAAAUGAGAAGAAUUGAUUGACAAGACAAUCAUGAAGAAAGCUAGUGGCAGAUGGAUGACUUCCAUGGAUUAAACCAACAUUGGAUUUAAGCAAAAACAGUUAGAAUUGUGUUCCAUUGUUCUUUCACAGUUUCAACAGCAUACACAUUUCGUCUUUACUUCUAAAUUCAUCACAACAAAGUAUGUUUAAAAGGAGAUGGCCAGUUUAAGUACAAUUCUAAAUAUUAUUUUAUCUACUAACACAAAAGUGCACCUCGUCUGAAUAUUUUUUGAAAAAAGAGGAAUGAGACUCAGAGUAGACCAGUAUCCCUAUCAGUUUUUACGAGCAUGUUUUUGCUUAAAUCUUAGUUUCCAAUCUAGAUAAACAAAACCCAAAGAAUAACUUAAAUCUUAGUUUCCAAUCUUUUGGUUAGACAGUUGUCAAGGUCUUGGGAAGGGCCAUGGCUAUAUCCAUCUUUCCCAACCAGAUGGAUAUCCAAGUUUGUUAUGUUUUUCCCAUCUCAUGCGAUUCCACACAAGAAAUAUGAGCAAGCUUGAUGAAUGAAAUAAAGAUUGCAGUUCAGAAGCCUUAAAAUACAAAAAAUGCAAAGGACUCAUAUUAAGGAAGCAAGGAAUAAGUGAUCAUUUAAGGAGAGAAUGAACACCACCACGAAAUUAAAUGUUUGUUCAAGAAGGGAGCAAUAUAUUUGUACAACCAAGUGUAAAGUGGUAGAGAGCCUUGCAAUGUAGUUCACAAUUGAUGGCGAUGUAUUAUAAAUUCUAGUUAACCUCAUUCAACAAAAGAAGUAGGAAGAGACUAUCAAAAGCCUACGUGAGAGUUGAAUAACAAAAGAAGCUGCACAUAUUAUUCAAAUUCCAGAAAAAGUGUUCUGUUACAGUAAAAAGUUCUUCCUAAACCAAAUAUAACCAUUUACUGAUGUAAUAUAAACGAUUAUAUAAUAAUCAGCAGCAUAUGUUACUCCAAAGAAGAUUAAUACAUCAUAUCAUCAAGAAUAAGGCUAGUAGAUUUCUAGUCCACCGUUGAGAAAAGAAGAUGGUAUUCGUGCAUAACAUACCAACAAAUCACAAAAUCCCAGGUAGCACCGUAACUGGCGAGUAAAGAAUGCAGGUGGAGCUCGAAUGAAAGCGAUUUCAGGAACAUUCCAUCAAAGUUUUUAGGGUUUCAGAACCGGAAAAUCGAUUGGGAGCGAGAAGGGGGAAGAAACCCUAUUGAGAACUGAAGAACAAAAAAGAAACCAGAAAAAAAGGGAGAUCAGAUCGGAAAAAAGAAUCUGAUUGAGAAACGGAAAACAGACCAAGCACAAAAAAAUCGAUUGAAUCGAAAAAAAAAUUGGACCAUUUCCCUGAAAUGCAAGCGAAUUCAGGACUAUCCCAUCCGAGAUUUUAGGGUUUGAGAACUGGAACUGGAAAACCGAUUGAAAACGAUAAAGGGUUCAAAAACUCUCUAUCGAGAACAGAAGAACAAAAAAUAAACAAAAAAAAAGGGAGAUCAGAUCAGAAAAAACGAACCUGGUUGAGAACCGGAAACAAAUCAACUACAAAAACCAAAAAAACACAAAAAUCGAUCGAAUCGAAAAAAAAGGGGACCAUUACACUCAAAUGCAAACGAAUUCAGAAACAUUUUAUCCAAGUUUUUAGGGCUUCAGAAUGAAUCAAAGCACUUCGAAUCGUAUAAUCCUUGCGCUAAUAAACCCGACUGACAAUCGAGACGUAACCAGCAAUGUGGGACUAAAAUUUAACGUAGCUCAAUUCCGACCUGAGCCUGUUAUAGAUAGCCGAACUCCAGUUGGAGACGGGCAUGGAAUGGUUUUGGGGUUCGGACCAG
Molecule: long non-coding RNA, 2513 nt
Filed under: Musa acuminata (dwarf banana)
Lineage: Eukaryota; Viridiplantae; Streptophyta; Magnoliopsida; Zingiberales; Musaceae
Description: long non-coding RNA (MACU_LNC006428)
Source: RNAcentral